UACGUAGGGACCGAGCGUUGUCCGGAAUCAUUGGGCGUAAAGAGCGUGUAGGCGGCCACUUAAGUCCUGCGUGAAAUCUUGCGGCUCAACCGCAAGCGGUCGUGGGAAACUGGGCGGCUAGAGUGCGGGAGAGGAGAGUGGAAUUCCCAGUGUAGAGGUGAAAUUCGUAGAUAUUGGGAAGAACACCGGUGGCGAAGGCGGCUCACUGGCCCGUUUCUGACGCUCAGGCGCGACAGCGUGGGGAUCAAACAGG
RNAcentral lists this ribosomal RNA (253 nucleotides) under uncultured bacterium. RNAcentral describes it as "partial 16S ribosomal RNA". It matches the Rfam family "Bacterial small subunit ribosomal RNA", at positions 524 to 776 of the family's 1533-position model. The record is from RNAcentral.